UACAGAGGGUGCGAGCGUUAAUCGGAAUUACUGGGCGUAAAGCGCGCGUAGGCGGCUCGGUAAGUCGGUCGUGAAAUGCCGGGGCUCAACCCCGGGACUGCGUCCGAUACUUCCGAGCUGGAGGCAGGUAGGGGAGAUCGGAAUUCCUGGUGUAGCGGUGAAAUGCGCAGAUAUCAGGAGGAACACCGGUGGCGAAGGCGGAUCUCUGGGCCUUGCCUGACGCUGAGGCGCGAAAGCUAGGGGAGCGAACAGG
Molecule: ribosomal RNA, 253 nt
Filed under: uncultured bacterium
Lineage: Bacteria
Description: partial 16S ribosomal RNA
Rfam family: Bacterial small subunit ribosomal RNA
Source: RNAcentral